RNAcentral lists this ribosomal RNA (430 nucleotides) under Alcaligenes faecalis. RNAcentral describes it as "bacterial SSU rRNA". It matches the Rfam family "Bacterial small subunit ribosomal RNA", at positions 98 to 524 of the family's 1533-position model. Lineage: Bacteria; Pseudomonadati; Pseudomonadota; Betaproteobacteria; Burkholderiales; Alcaligenaceae. The record is from RNAcentral.
GCGGACGGGUGAAUAAUAUAUCGGAACGCGCCCGUAGCGGGGGAAAACCACUCGAAGAACGGCCAAUACCGCAUACGCCCCACGGGGGAAAGGGGGGGAUUCUUCGGAACCUCUCACCAUUGGAGCGGCCGAUAUCGGAUAGCCAGUUGGUGGGGUAAGGCUCACCAAGGCAACGAUCCGUAGCCGGUUUGAGAGGACGACCAGCCACACUGGGACUGAGACACGGCCCAGACUCCUACGGGAGGCAGCAGUGGGGAAAUUUUGGACAAUGGGGGAAAACCCUGAUCCAGCCAUCCCGCGUGUAUGAUGAAGGCCUUCGGGUUGUAAAGUACUUUUGGCAGAGAAGAAAAGGUAUCUCCUAAUACGAGAUACUGCUGACGGUAUCUGCAGAAUAAGCACCGGCUAACUACGUGCCAGCAGCCGCGGUAAU